GUUUUUAAAAUGAAUCAGAGUUUUUUUGACUUUGCAAGCUGUGUAUAUAAGCUUAGAAUUUGAAUGCAUCGUGUAGUUCAUCCAACACCAAACAGCAAAAAUGAAAUACAUCUUCGUUGUCCUCAUCGCCUUUGCACUCUACCACUUUGCGAUUACGCAAGAUCCUUGCGAUCCCGGUGACCAAGAGCCUGGAUGCGAUUGCACUGGAGUAGGUGAGGCUUUUUGGAGUGGAACGCCCGAAUCCUGCCAGUUCAUGUGCAUGAGUGAGGAGACCCUCUUUACUUGCGCAGAAAUAGCAGCAGCACCAGCAGCAGCGCCAGUUUAAAUACAAAAACAAACGCACUUGUUUUGUUUACUAACAAUUAUGUCUAGAAUAGAAGGUAACCUGAA
Long non-coding RNA from Photinus pyralis (common eastern firefly), 390 nucleotides. RefSeq lists it as uncharacterized. The transcript has 2 exons. NCBI's taxonomy places the organism in Eukaryota, Metazoa, Arthropoda, Insecta, Coleoptera, Lampyridae. The record is from RefSeq and is a predicted model, not a curated record.